GGUUAGUAGGUUGGUCAUGCCUCUGGUAUGUACUGGUCUCACUGAUUCCUCCCUCUUGACGAACUGUAAUGUCAUUAAUUUGGUGUUGCAGGAAAUCAGGACUGUUACUUUGAAAAAAUUAGAGUGUUUAAAGCAGGCUAAGGCUUGAAUACAUUAGCAUGGAAUAAUGAAAUAGGACGUUUGAUCCUAUUUUGUUGGUUUCUAGGAUUGACGUA
Molecule: ribosomal RNA, 215 nt
Filed under: uncultured Glomus
Lineage: Eukaryota; Fungi; Glomeromycota; Glomeromycetes; Glomerales; Glomeraceae
Description: partial 18S rRNA
Rfam family: Eukaryotic small subunit ribosomal RNA (bases 39-215)
Source: RNAcentral